UACAGAGGGUGCGAGCGUUAAUCGGAAUUACUGGGCGUAAAGGGUGCGUAGGUGGCUUAGUAAGUUAGAUGUGAAAUUCCCGGGCUUAACCUGGGGACUGCGUCUGAUACUGCUGAGCUAGAGUACUGUAGAGGGAAGUGGAAUUUCCGGUGUAGCAGUGAAAUGCGUAGAUAUCGGAAGGAACAUCAGUGGCGAAGGCGACUUUCUGGACAGAUACUGACACUGAGGCACGAAAGCGUGGGGAGCAAACAGA
This 253-nucleotide ribosomal RNA is filed under the name uncultured bacterium. Its description in RNAcentral is "partial 16S ribosomal RNA". It matches the Rfam family "Bacterial small subunit ribosomal RNA", at positions 524 to 776 of the family's 1533-position model. The record is from RNAcentral.